Molecule: long non-coding RNA, 616 nt
Filed under: Fukomys damarensis (Damara mole-rat)
Lineage: Eukaryota; Metazoa; Chordata; Mammalia; Rodentia; Bathyergidae
Description: lncRNA (ENSFDAG00000033023.1)
Source: RNAcentral
GCAGUUUAGAUGAGGAACAGGGCUAGCCAGGUAUCCAGAAAUGGUGGGGUGAGGGGUUGCAGGAAAUGUCCUCCGGGCCCCAGUCCUCGCCUGUUUCACUGGUGGCAGGGAGUUUGGUCCGCUGGUAUAUGGUGAGCCAUCAUGGUGAGCCUUGACAUAGGCCUAGCCAUGAUUGAACUUUGAGUCAUCUCGCCGGCACGAACGUGCUGUCGCCCCUACCAACGGGCAAGUUCAGCUGGUAGCAGAUGUAACCCAUAAUGGUUGUUAUUGUUUCCCUCUGGGAUGUGUGGGUUGUACCCUCGCUCCCGUGCAGCCCUCGCUCCCAUGCAGCUGAAGAGUAUAAAUGUUUACACUUUUGGUUUCGGUUUUAGCCUGUAUAUACCCCACCCUGAAAAAUAAAUGGGGCUUUGCUACGGUAGAGCGUGAGCCUGGAACUAAGUUCGUGAAACUGCUCUCCUGUUGUUCCUCCCUCGGGUUGGGGACCUGCUGGCAGGAUUCUGACGUUGCGGCUCGCGACACUGAACUAAACAACUUCAGACAUCAACACAAUCACAGCUUGUGAAAACCAACAUUAUCAGCAACAUCACUAUGGACCUUUCAGACAUGGAAACCAGCC